This 441-nucleotide ribosomal RNA is filed under the name uncultured bacterium. Its description in RNAcentral is "partial 16S ribosomal RNA". It matches the Rfam family "Bacterial small subunit ribosomal RNA", at positions 338 to 795 of the family's 1533-position model. The record is from RNAcentral.
CCUACGGGUGGCAGCAGUGGGGAAUAUUGCACAAUGGGGGAAACCCUGAUGCAGCGACGCCGCGUGAGUGAAGAAGUACUUCGGUAUGUAAAGCUCUAUCAGCAGGGAAGAAAAAAGACGGUACCUGACUAAGAAGCCCCGGCUAACUACGUGCCAGCAGCCGCGGUAAUACGUAGGGGCCAAGCGUUAUCCGGAUUUACUGGGUGUAAAGGGAGCGUAGGCGGUAUGGCAAGUCUGAAGUGAAAGCCCACGGCUUAACCCUGGGACUGCAUUGGAAACUGGUAGACUAGAGUGCUGGAGAGGUGAGUGGAAUUCCUGGUGUAGCGGUGAAAUGCGUAGAUAUUAGGAAGAACACCAGUGGCGAAGGCAGCUUACUGGACAGUAACUGACAUUGAGGCUCGAAAGCGUGGGGAGCAAACAGGAUUAGAUACCCUUGUAGUC